RNAcentral lists this ribosomal RNA (520 nucleotides) under uncultured Glomeromycotina. RNAcentral's name for it is "SSU rRNA". It matches the Rfam family "Eukaryotic small subunit ribosomal RNA", at positions 569 to 1092 of the family's 1831-position model. Lineage: Eukaryota; Fungi; Glomeromycota. The record is from RNAcentral.
AGCAGCCGCGGUAAUUCCAGCUCCAAUAGCGUAUAUUAAAGUUGUUGCAGUUAAAAAGCUCGUAGUUGAAUUUCGGGAUUCUUCGGUUGGUCGGGCUAUCCAGUCUGUACUAGCGUGUAGAAUUCCUACCUUCUGGGGAACCGUCAUGUUAUUAAUUUAGCGUGGUGGGAAACCAGGACCUUUACCUUGAAAAAAUUAGAGUGUUCAAAGCAGGCUUACGUCUGAAUACAUUAGCAUGGAAUAAUAGAAUAGGACGGUGGUCCUGUUUUGUUGGUUUCUGAAUCACCGUAAUGAUUAAUAGGGAUAGUUGGGGGCAUUAGUAUUCGAAUUGUCAGAGGUGAAAUUCUUGGAUUUAUUGAAGACUAACUUCUGCGAAAGCAUUUGCCAAGGAUGUUUUCAUUAAUCAAGAACGAAAGUUAGGGGAUCGAAGACGAUCAGAUACCGUCGUAGUCUUAACCAUAAACUAUGCCGACUAGGGAUCGGACGAUGUUAAAUUUAUUGACUCGUUCGGCGCCUUACG